This 252-nucleotide ribosomal RNA is filed under the name uncultured Bacteroidales bacterium. RNAcentral's name for it is "partial 16S ribosomal RNA". It matches the Rfam family "Bacterial small subunit ribosomal RNA", at positions 524 to 776 of the family's 1533-position model. Lineage: Bacteria; Pseudomonadati; Bacteroidota; Bacteroidia; Bacteroidales. The record is from RNAcentral.
UACGGAGGAUGCGAGCGUUAUCCGGAUUUAUUGGGUUUAAAGGGUGCGUAGGCGGACUGUCAAGUCAGCGGUAAAAUCGUGGAGCUCAACUCCAUCCAGCCGUUGAAACUGGGUGCCUUGAGUGGGCGAGAAGUACGCGGAAUGCGCGGUGUAGCGGUGAAAUGCUUAGAUAUCGCGCAGAACCCCGAUUGCGAAGGCAGCGUACCGGCUCCACACUGACGCUCAUGCACGAAAGUGUGGGUAUCGAACAGG